UCAAUUUCAAAGAAGAAAGGGGGAAGAAGGAUAAAUCGAAGCAAAACAGAAUAAAAAAGAAGGAAAAAAAGGGGGGUUCUCGAUAGGGGCUUAUGUUUUUCGGUUCUCCCGACUCCGACGAAGUCUUACGCUCUGGAUCCAAAUCCGGUCACUUCAACUCCGACCGAGAAAGGGGUAGCACACCGCCGCCGCGCAGGAGCUGCGCACGCCGAUGGGCACCGCGACCAGAGUUAUGCACUCCAGAUAUUUCGUCUUCUGCAGUUCAAUUUUCUCUGAUUUAGGGCAGAGGAAGGUCCCUGUGAGGCAUCAUCUUGAGAGAACAGCACCCUCCGGCCUCUCGGCCAUUACCAGAAUAUUGAGGCUCCGUAGCCCGUCGGAACCACGCCGAGAAGUGGUUCCCUAAUUUGAUAGGGAAGAUUUCCACCUUAAUGGCUUUUCUCGAUCUUUUUCUCGCUGAAAAUAGUUUUCCAAUUUCGUUUGCUUAAAGUCUCUACUAAUUUUGUGCAAUUUCUUAUGGCUUAGCUCGGGAAUAUGAAGUAUCGAGCGAUGCUUGAUUUCUCAAAGGAACUGUUUAUUGAAGGGGUGAUUCGAAGCUGUCGAAAAUUCUGUCCAAGACGCCGCUUAUGUGAGGAAAUAUAGCUCUGGAUUCAAAUCCCUCUUAUCUCCGGCUUCGGCGAACAGCUGCACCACCAGAACCCUGCACCGAAUCUCUCAUCGCCGGGAAGAAACCAGACCAAGUCCAGCGCAGGUUUCGAUCGAGACCGCCUCCUGCUUCCACGACUUCAACAUUCGAUAAUCAUCUUCUCCAAGCCGAUUUUGCCCAAUUUAGGGCUGAGGAGGGCCCUGUCUAUGUUCCGGCCUCGGCCGCAGGACAACCGCACAGACCAUCCGCAGUUUCUCAGCCGCGGGUCCGGCGAGGCCGGCGACCUGCCUCUCCGGCGUCGUCUCUCUUUUUGAGACGUAGCUCAGUCAAACCAGCUCGCUUCGCUGCAAACCACCGAAGCGCGGCGCUGUUGCGCACGUCGCCGGCAGCCAGGGUAACUCUGGUUGUUUGGGGUUUUCGGGCUGAAGGGUGAAUCCCCCCAGCUGUGAGCUCCCUUUACUUUGCUCUUAAUCUCAAAUGUGGAUGGAGCCUUGUGCUUGUGCUAGCGUUACAUGGCUGUUUGCAGUGCAGAAGAGGGACUGAUGCCCACUGGAAUCACUCCGGCGAGAGAUCUUAUGACUUUAAGAGGGAGGAUUUCUAUUUAUUAGAGUUUUUCUCAAUUAGUUUCAUGUUAAGCUUAGCCAUUGUUGGACUUAUCUUAUUUUUGUUUGCUUAAUUUUUGCCUCGAGGCUCAGGGAGAGAUUGUGCAGCUUGUUGUUGUCCCCAACUGAGAUCAUUUAUAGAGCAGCAACAACCCGCGCCUCAGGCGAUUGCCGGAUUUGACAUCGGCAAUCUAGCCCGCCACUAAAUUGGUCAUCGUCAUCGUGCUCUAGCACCGGAGUUCGUCCCAUCUUGCACCGGGCUUUGGAGCCCCUAAUUUUGUCGUUAAACUGACCCGAGUCGAUGAUCCCAAAGCUUACCUUUGUGCUCUAGUCGCCGAUUAUCGCACCCUCGGCUCUGGAGAUUGCUCGCUGCCGGCCACGAAUCGCCGCUUCUUUGCAACCAGGGAAUUACAGCCCGCUUCUUGCCGAGCAUCGAAGAACUCCUCAGCAGGGCACCAGCGAAGGGAACUUUGGCACCCUCCCCUGCGCGAUUGAGGAGAAGCUCCAGCGCAGCUUUUAGCAUCUGAAUUUCGGCGCAGCUCCGGGGAAAAGCUCUUUUCCUUUUUUCUCUCUUUUAACUUUUAUUCCUGCUGCUGAUUUCUUUCACCAGGAUUUGGUUAAUCUCUGGCCGUAGAGGCAGAUUUUCGCUGGGUCUAUUGCUCAAUUCAGCAUUACUAAUGUUUCUUUGAUAAUUAUUGCUAAUAUUUUUCUUUUGGAAUUUGUAUUUGAGGGUGGGAAUCUGAACAACAGAGCAUGAAGCUGGUACUGUAAGACGUAUGUAAUUCUUCCUCCAAAGGGGUCCAACAAGCCGUCGGGAUCCGAGAUUGUAAAUUUGGGAAUCACGAAAACAGAGCCCUGAAGGACAACGAGUUUAGACAUUCUGAGAUUAAUUUAUAGCUAAGUUACAGUUUCUCAAUUUGCUUUGAUGCUAUGUUUAAUGUUUAUUGUUUGUGG
RNAcentral lists this long non-coding RNA (2199 nucleotides) under Salvia miltiorrhiza (redroot sage). RNAcentral describes it as "long non-coding RNA (SMIL_LNC013229)". Lineage: Eukaryota; Viridiplantae; Streptophyta; Magnoliopsida; Lamiales; Lamiaceae. The record is from RNAcentral.